RNAcentral lists this ribosomal RNA (325 nucleotides) under uncultured eukaryote. Its description in RNAcentral is "partial 18S ribosomal RNA". It matches the Rfam family "Eukaryotic small subunit ribosomal RNA", at positions 1470 to 1796 of the family's 1831-position model. The record is from RNAcentral.
CCCUUAGAUGUUCUGGGCCGCACGCGCGCUACACUGAUGCAUUCAACGAGUUCUACCUUGGCCGAGAGGCCUGGGCAAUCUUUUGAACUUGCAUCGUGAUAGGGAUAGAUUAUUGCAAUUAUUAAUCUUGAACGAGGAAUUCCUAGUAAACGCAGAUCAUCAAUCUGCAUUGAUUACGUCCCUGCCCUUUGUACACACCGCCCGUCGCACCUACCGAUUGAAUGGUCCGGUGAAGCCUCGGGAUUGUGGUUAGUUUCCUUUAUUGGAAGGUAGUCACGAGAACCUGUCUAAACCUUAUCAUUUAGAGGAAGGUGAAGUCGUAACA